UAUAUUAUGUUGGUGCAAAAGUAAUUGUGGUUUUUGCCAUUUUAAGAGUAAUAGCAAAAGCCGCAAUUACUUUUGCACCAACUCAAUA
RNAcentral lists this microRNA precursor (88 nucleotides) under Cercocebus atys (sooty mangabey). Its description in RNAcentral is "miRNA (ENSCATG00000010558.1)". The record is from RNAcentral. Lineage: Eukaryota; Metazoa; Chordata; Mammalia; Primates; Cercopithecidae.